ACAUGUCUUUUUAGUAUUUAAUAUAAAGUCUGGCCUGCCCACUGAAUAAUAUUUGAAGGGCCGCAGUAUUUUGACUGUGCAAAGGUAGCAUAAUCAUUAGUCUUUUAAUUGAAGGCUGGUAUGAAUGGUCGGAUGAGAUAUAAGCUGUGUCAAAAAAAUUAUUAUUUGAAUUUAACUUUUUAGUCAAAAGGCUAAAAUAAAUUUAAAAGACGAGAAGACCCUAUAGAGCUUUAUAUAAUAAAUAUUUAAGUUAUUAAGAUUUAUUAAAUUUAAUUUUUAUAUUGUAUUUUGUUGGGGUGACAAUAAAAUUUAUAAAACUUUUAUUUUUAUUUAACAUUAAUUUAUGAUUAUAUGAUCCAAUUUUAUUGAUUAUAAAUUUAAGUUACCUUAGGGAUAACAGCGUAAUUUUUUUUGAGAGUUCUUAUCGACAAAAAAGAUUGCGACCUCGAUGUUGGAUUAAGAGUAAUUUUGGGUGUAGAAGUUCAAAAUUUAAGUCUGUUCGACUUUUAAAUUCUUACAUGAUC
RNAcentral lists this ribosomal RNA (524 nucleotides) under Simulium roslihashimi. Its description in RNAcentral is "partial 16S ribosomal RNA". It matches the Rfam family "Bacterial large subunit ribosomal RNA", at positions 1815 to 2605 of the family's 2925-position model. The record is from RNAcentral. Lineage: Eukaryota; Metazoa; Arthropoda; Insecta; Diptera; Simuliidae.